CGUGCAGGUGGCUCUGUAAGUUGGAUGUGAAAUUUCCCGGCUUAACCGGGAAGGGUCAUUCAAUACUGUGGGGCUUGAGGGCAGAAGAGGGGGGUGGAAUUGCCGGUGUAGUGGUGAAAUGCGUAGAUAUCGGCAGGAACACCUGUGGCGAAAGCGGCCCCCUGGUCUGCUCCUGACACUCAGACGCGAAAGCUAGGGGAGCGAACGGGAUUAGAAACCCCGGUAGUCCUAGCCGCAAACGAUGGAUGCUAGGUGUAGGUGGUAUUGACCCCAUCUGUGCCGAAGCUAACGCGUUAAGCAUCCCGCCUGGGGACUACGGCCGCAAGGUUAAA
RNAcentral lists this ribosomal RNA (332 nucleotides) under uncultured bacterium. Its description in RNAcentral is "bacterial SSU rRNA". It matches the Rfam family "Bacterial small subunit ribosomal RNA", at positions 568 to 898 of the family's 1533-position model. The record is from RNAcentral.